CCCUUAGAUGUUCUGGGCCGCACGCGCGCUACACUGAUGCAUUCAACAAGCCUAGCCUUGACCGAGAGGUCCGGGUAAUCUUUGAAACUGCAUCGUGAUGGGGCUAGAUUAUUGCAAUUAUUAAUCUUCAACGAGGAAUGCCUAGUAAGCGUGAUACAUCAAAUCGCGUUGAUUACGUCCCUGCCCUUUGUACACACCGCCCGUCGCUCCUACCGAUUGAAUGUGUUGGUGAGGAGCUCGGAUUGGCAGCAGUUGGUGGUUCGCCACCGGCUAUUGCUGAGAAGUCCUCCAAACCGCCCCAUUUAGAGGAAGGAGAAGUCGUAACA
Molecule: ribosomal RNA, 326 nt
Filed under: uncultured eukaryote
Lineage: Eukaryota
Description: partial 18S ribosomal RNA
Rfam family: Eukaryotic small subunit ribosomal RNA
Source: RNAcentral